This 15723-nucleotide long non-coding RNA is filed under the name Marmota monax (woodchuck). The record is from RNAcentral. Lineage: Eukaryota; Metazoa; Chordata; Mammalia; Rodentia; Sciuridae.
GGACUGGAAGUAUUUAGGCGGCAGCACCCAGCUCAAGGCCUGGACUAGAAGUGCUCAGCGCCCUGGAGUCGUGGGAAAAACACUGCCCUAUUCUUUGGUCUUUAGUCUUCGCCUAAAUCAGGAGAAACCAAACUUGGGGAAACAUGUUUGCGGUACAUUUGCUGGCAUUUUACUUCACCAAGCUAAAAGAGGAUCAGAUAAAGAAGGUAAGGACUCACAAAGCCGAGAGAUGUGGGGGCCUUCUGCAGAUCUCCUCCUGCAUCAGAAAAGGACUCAGGAGCUGGGGGUGUCGCUCAGGAGCAGAGCUGCUUGCCUAGCCCGGGGGAGACCCUGGGUUCCAUUCCUAGUUUCAGAGAGCUUAUGAAGAACAGCUCUGCCAGCCUCUGACAAGUAAAGACUCAGAGUGGGAAGGGGAGGUACGUCUGUAUACCCCUGGGCAGUGCCUUACUGUCCCGAACCCUGAAUUUCAGUGGAACUUUCUGGCAGAUAUCACAAAGGAAGGAGCUGAGGAGAAAGUGUAGGGAAUGCUUGAAGGAGUUUGUCUCAGGAAUGUAAGAGGAGGCUUGAUUCAGGGAUGCUUUGGGGGAAAGGCCACAUGGAAGAGUCAUUUGUAAAGAAGUUUUAAGAACUUUUGAAGAAGAUCUGAUUAUGCAUAUAUUUGAAAGCAUAUAAAAUAUAAGACCCCCAAGAGGAAUGUAAAAUUUAUUUGUUUGCAGUAACUGGGGAUGGAACCUGGGGCCUUGCUGUCUACCACUGAGCUAUAUCCCCAGUCCCUUUUGUUUUUAUUGAGACAGCAUCUCGAUAGGUUGUCCUGGCUGGCCUCAAACUUAUGAUCCUCCUGCCUCAGCCCCCUAAGUAGCUGGGAUUAUAGUGUUUGCCAUUGUGUCUGGCUAUAUAAUUUGCUUAUAUUAUAAUGUAUAUAUUUUACAUAUAUAUGUUUGUGUGUGUGUAUAUAUAUAUAUAUAUAUUUUUUUUUUUUUGAGGGCUCCAUAUAUAGUUCAUGCUAGCCUUGAAUUUCUGGCCUCAAGCCAUCCUCCUGUCUCAGUCUCCCAAAUAGCUGAGACUACAGGUGCAUACCACUGUGCCUCGUAGUUUUAAUGUGUGCUAAUUGAAAUGCUUAUUAUUAGCACAUGCUAUUUGCCAACAGUGCACUAUUAAAGGUGUGCAUUAUUUGGUCACUUUGCCCCAGGAACUAGAUUACAAAACUCAUUCCAAAUUUGGCUAGUUAAAGGUUGCCAAGGUCAACUGUGGGUAAUCAGAUUCUCUCCAGGCAGCUGAAACAAGCCUGCCUUUCGGGCUGCACUGGGCCAACUGACUGUCAGAAGCAGCAGGGCCACCGAGUGGCAUGACUCAAUUUAUAGAUAACAGACGGACUCAGCCAAGGUCACCCAGGUAUUUAAGGUGAAAUCCAACUAAACCUACAUCUGAGAUUGCUAAUCCCAGCUGUUUCUAUUUGCUAUGAUGUCUUCCUGCUUUUCCAAAUAAGAGGAUGAAGCCCUCACAGCCUUAGUGUGUUUGGUGAGAUAAACUUCCACUAAAUUCUAUUCAUGAGGAAGUUAGGUGAGAGGUACAGCAAACUUAGAAAUAUAAAGCAGUGAGUUUAACCUUUUAAUUUGUAUUUGUUGGCUAGACUCACAGAGCCCCCUACUGGAGACUUGAGGAGGUGAACGAAUACUCCGCAGCCCUGCUUGGGAUUCCCUUCCUGUUAUUACCUUUGCUUGGGAAAGAUGCAACUCUCACUCCCAAGAGGGAGGCUUGGAACCCUGAAAUCUUUGGUUCUGCAAAGUUAUUUCAUUUCCUUGGCCCCUCUGUGGUGGCUGACCUUUUGUUCCACCCUAGGUUAAGGCAAGACAUGUUUGUCCACCAGCCCAAUUACAGGCUCCGAUGGCCUCUGUGGAAACGCAGGCUCCCGGGUCCUUUUGCAAGAAUCAGUCUUUGUAAAUACCUGGAGUCAACCUGCCCCCUCCCUGUGGGAGGCAAGAAAGUGGAGCAUUUUGCAGUUAACCUGGGAACCUAAGUGUUUCUGGGGGAGCCUGCUUUGUGGCUCUUGGGCUGAGUCAUAGAUUCUGAGAACAUUCCUCCAUGUGAAUGUUCUCAGAAACACAUCUGGUCAAAAGGCACCCUGUGGUCCUGUAGCCAGUCCUGUCUUAGCUUGUGCCUCUAGAACGUCUGAGCUCACACAUGCCUGCAAAGGUUACUAUUCAGACUCUGGAACGGGUUUUUUUGUUUUUUGUUUUAAAUCUCCUCUUUCCAACAUUAAAGACAAAAAUAAAACAAAACAAAUAAGAAGAAUGGAAAAGAGGAACCCUCUGACAGCUUCUUUUCCAAUUCAGUAUGUUGACAUUAUUUGACCUGUCGAUAGCACUUGGCCGGGCCUGGACACUGACCUGCAGACUGCUCUUCCAUAAGAACAGGACAGGUCAGGUUUUCAGUGAGUCUUUUUUAUGGUUUAGUAAGUCAACAUUAUGAAAAUGUGGAAAUGUUGCCUUUAUUUUUUAUUUUAUUUAUUUAUUUGGUACCAGGGGGAUUGAACCUGGAGGGGUUUAACCACUGAGCCACAUUCCCAGCCCUUUUUUAUAUUUUAUUUAGAGACAGGGUCUCUGAGUUGCUUAGGGCCUUGCUAAGUUGAUGAGACUGUCUUUGAACUCAAGAUUCUCCUGCUUCAACCUCCCAAGCCACUGGGAUUACAGGUGUGCGCCAUGGUGCCUAGUGAAAUGUCACCUUUAAUUUAUCUUUAAUGACAAAUACUGUCAUGUAUGUUAUGUGGGUGCCCUUGUGGCCAUUUUUUUUCCCAUUAUUAUAUCGAUAAUGUGCUGUAUGUACAGUUCUGCAUCUUUCUUUUUUCUUUUUGGUACUAGGGAUUGAACCCAGGGGCAAUCACUUAGUCACAAUCCCAGCCCUUAUUUAUAUUUUAUUUAUUAUUUAUAUUUUAUUUAGAGACAGGAUCUGACUGAGUUGCUUAGGGUCUCACUAAAUUGCUGAGACUGGCUUUGAACUCGAGAUCUUCCCGCCUCAGCCUCCCGAUCCUCUGGGAUUACAGGCAUGGGCCACUGUGCCUGGCUCAGUUCUGCAUCUUGAUUUUAGCACUUAUUGUUUUGUUGUAAAUGCUUAUAUCCACUCCUCCAUUAUCUGAAUAAUUAUUAAUUUAAUGUCUUCCUAAUAUUUAUUAAGUAGGUAUGUCACAAUUUAUUUAAACUUUGCCUUCUCAAUGACAUUUGGAUCCUCAAAAAUAUUCUUUUUUAGCAACUAAAAUAUUGUUACAUAUGUGAGAUCAUUUGAGUUCUCUGUUCAAAAAUUUUUCCUAAUUUGACUCAGAAUGAAAGUCAGAUUCCUUACAAUGAAAAAUAUAUUGCCAUGACAAAGAUGGGCCUGUGAUUAUUUUUCUCCAUAUUUAGCAUUAUUUAAAAGGUUAAAUCUGACUGCUUUAUAUUUUUAAGUUUGCUGUACCUCUCACCUAACUUUCUCAUUUAAUAAAUAGAAUUUGGUGGAAGUUUCUCUCACUGGCUGUCAGAAGCAGCAGGAUAGAUUCCUGAAGUGAAACCAGUAGGUCAAAGAGCAGAACCUCUUUAUGACUCUUGUUUCGUCCCAGGAGACCUCUGGACUAAGUGAUCCCUAAGGCCCCAUCCAGCUUCUACAUUUUGCAGUUCAACAGUUCUGAGCUUCAAGGGGUGUUAACAACCCUUGUUGUUUGUGAAUUUGCUUUUUCCAAGAUAAACGCGAUGGUUGCUGGCUCUCCUGUUUAGAUGACAUUUCCUAUUACAGUUUGUGAGUCCCUCCAAAAGUGAGCUUGCUGUUCUGCAACCCCAACUCCCUCCUUUGGUGCCGGGGACAUGUGUCCCUGGUUACACAUGCCCCAGAUCACCUGCAUGGAUUAAAAAGAUAGUUUUUUUUUUCUUCCUGUCCUAACAAACAUACAUUUCAUUCUUCCUGUUUAGCUACUGGGCCAGGGACAUAAAGAAUAGAUAAGAAACUGCUGGGUUGACAUUCUUUCCACCAUAACUUUGACUUAUUGAAAGCAGAAGCCACCAAUGGGCUAAAUGACACUGGCAGGAUGCAGUUCACAAUGGCCCCCAAAGGACCUCAAAAGCCGUGUCUUACUUACGAGGAUGUCGUUCUGUGGAUGCCUGAGAAGCUCUUGAUACUCUCAGGCAGAGCAAAAAUGAUCAGCAGGUUGAGGGGGCACAGCCUGAGGGGCUUUGACGUGAUGAUAAAGGACCAAGCUUGGUUCCCACAUGGGGCAUUCCCACUCUUUCUUCUCCAACCCCAAUUACGUGGGUCACGUCCGGUCCGUGCGGUUUUUUGUGAUUGUGUGUGGCUGUGCCACCAAUUAAUCCUCAACAGACGCGGGUGAGUAGGAAGCGCCUAAUGAAGCCUGACCUGGUUAUAGUCUUUCUUCUCAGACCCGCGGAAACCCAGUGCUCCUUUAUUGUUAACAACCCUCUAAUGGUUUUCUGGCCUCUCUCUGGUCCCCAAGUCCCCAGAGCCAUGAGGCCCUUUCACUGGAUUGGGUCUUUCUGUCCCUCUGAGGCCUGGCUGACGGCUGGGCACCCUCCUAGGAUAAAGAGGGGAGCCUUGUGCUUCUGGUGUCAUUUGUUGGUUGGGCACAUGGAUCCCCCAUGGAGCUGUGAGCCAAAACCAGGCUGCGGAGUGGUCCCGGUGCUGUCCCUAAUCUACACCUCUAUGAAUGCUCCUUCUGGCUCCAAGCCUUGUAUUCCUCAUCUCUCAGUUAGGGACAAUAACUGUUGCCUCAUCUGGCUGCUUCAAAGAGAUAUCAUAGGGUUUUCAUUUUUUGGUAAUGGGAAUUGAACCCAGGGGCGCUUAACCACUGAGCCACAACCCCAGCCCAGGAGCAAACUUUUCUCUAAGAACACGUGUUACAGUCUAUAAAGUACUUUUGUGUAUGUCACCUCAUCAAAUCUCUAUGACAGCUGGGUACGCUGGCACAUGCCUAUAAUCCCAGAGGCUGGGGAAGCUUUUCUGCCCUUCCUGAUGUGGUAUCUUAACACCAAGUGGACUGAACACACCCGUGCUUUUUAUCGCUUCCUUCCUUUGGGGUAGGGGUCCUUUGCCUCAAUUUCUUGGUUACUUGAAUGACAUCCGCUCAUUUCCAAUAGCAAUUUGAGAUGAGUUUAAAAAUUAAACUUCAUUUUAAUUAGGACAACCAGUUAAAUCAAAAUGGAAAUAUAAAGGAUUAGAUUUUAUUUUUAAAGGAAAUUUUUUUUUUUUUUUUGGUGCUGAGGAUUGAACCCAGGGGUACUCAACAACUGAGCCAUAUCCCCAUCCCUUACUACUUUUUAUUUAUUUAUUGACUUUUUGGUACAGGGGAUUGAACCCAGGGGUGCUGAGUCACAUCCCCAGCCCUUUAUAUUUUUUUUAUUUUGAGAAAGGGUUUUGCUACAUUGCUGAGGCUGGCCUCAAACAUGCAAUCCUCCUGCUUCAGUCUCCCCAGUCGCUGGGAUUAUUGGCAUGUGCCACUGCACCCGUAAGGACUAGGUUUUAAAGAUUGCAGUUGGAAACUGAAUUUAGUUCUGAGCUUCCUAACAGCCAAUAAACAAAGGGAAAUGUUUUUGGAUAUGUCUAUAAUCAUAAUUGGAUCAAAGGAAAUUGCCCUGUUUAGGAAUUGAAGAUUCAGGCUAUAGACUGUCCUUGCCAGUGGAGAGGAAAUGGUACCACAGGAGAGGCCUUGAGGUGGGAAUUGGAAGCCCUGCAUGCUCCAGGAAGUCCCUACCCCCUGGCUACUGUCUGGUCAGAAUAGCAGGAAGUCGAUUCUUCCCCAGAGCUUGCCCUUUAGGAGGAAUAAGCGGGCACCUCUCAGUCUUCCGUUUCAUCUGCUCCCCCAGCUCCCCACUUCGUCCCUGGCUGGUGGAGGGGCCAGCUAAGGAGACAGUGGGAGAGCCCAUCACAAAGCUGCCCCUCAGUUGGGAUGCAGCCUCAGGGUGGGAGUGGGAGUUUACAGCCUUGGCUGCAGGGCAAGCACCCCCACCUGCCAACCCUGUCACCCCAACAUCUGUUCCAGGUGGACAGAUUCCUGUAUCAUAUGCGGCUCUCUGAUGAGACCCUUCUGGACAUCAUGGCCCGGUUCCAGGUUGAGAUGGAGAAGGGCCUGGGGAAGGACACCAACCCCACGGCCUCGGUGAAGAUGCUGCCCACCUUUGUCAGGGCCAUUCCAGAUGGCUCAGGUGAGUGGGGCUGGGGCUUCCGGACCUGGUCCCUGGCUCCUCCUGACUGAUGAGUCCCUGAUGUUUGCUUUUAUACCCAUCUUCUCUCCCCAUGUCCCUUCUCCCUGACCCUCUUGGCUUCAGUGCUGCUGACCACCUUUGGGAUCCACACAUUAAGACACCUGGCAUUCUCGCUGCCUCUGUUGGCCUCACACAUUCUGUCCUCUGUCUCUUUCUCUUUUUGGUACCAUGGAUUGAACCCAGGGGUGCUUAACUGCUGAACCACAUCCCCAACCCUUUUUAUAUUUUAUUUUGAGGUAGGGUCCCCAAGUUGCUUAGGGCCUCGCUGUUGCUGAGACUGGCUUUGAACUUGCAAUCCUCCUGCCUCAGCCUCCUGAGUCGCUGAGAUUACAGGUGUGCACCACCGCACUCAGCCUGUCUCCUGUCUUACUGCAGCAUCCCCCCAUUCUCGCCCUGGUGAGCACCACCUUAGCUUUCCAAGAGUAGUCUAGAAAGAUCACUCAGUGCCUCAGAUGGGAAGCAUCCUCCUACUGGGUCAGGUGCUUAUCAGAAUCCUGCUCACCAUGGUGGAUGAGAGUCUCCCCUGGACUAAUGGCUCCAUGAGGCCUGGGACUUAUUCACCGCAGCGUUCGGAGCAUCUAAUGCACUGUGGACCUGACAUAGGAGUUGAAAGAACAAUAAAUGGCAUUCAUUCCUAGAUGCCUAGAUUCUAGGCUAGAGAAAUAAUGAAAGGAAGCAUGUUGCAAUGGAAAGAGAAUUAAAUGACAAUUCAAGAAAAUUAGAUUGUAGGCCUGACACUCUGACACUCCUUGGUGACUUUGGGCAAGUGAUGAGCCUUGAUUUCUCCAUCUGUAGAAUGAGAGCAUUGGCCUAGGUAUUGGUUUCUAUCGUUGUGUUUUAUUUUGAUCUCAGUUGCUUAGGGCCUUGCUGUUGCUGAGGCUGGCUUUGAACUUACCUUUGUAGGGGUGAGCGGGAGCAGGCUGGCUGGCCCAGGGGUCUGCAUUAGGACUAGGCUCCAUAUUUGCCUGGGCAUAAGAUUUAGAUUCACCCUGGGCAAUUCCUAAACAUGUGGUUUCCCAGGUCUCUCCCUGGAGGUCUAGUAAAAUUUAGUGGAUUCACACGACACAAAUGUACGCUCUUACAGUCUGGCGGUCAGAACUCUGAAAUGGUUCUCGUUGGGCUAAAAUCAAAGGGUUGGCAGGGCUGCCUUCUCUCUGGAGGCUCCAGGGAGCACAUCUCCCUGCCUUUUCCAGCUUCUGGGAGCCACCACGUUCCUUGGUUUAUACUCCUUUCUGUCUUCAAAGCCAGCAGUGUCACGUCAUCAAAUCUUUCUCUGGAAGCUGGGUGUGGUGGCUCAUGCCUGUAAUUCCAGCAACUUGAGAAGCUGAGACAGGAGGAUCAUGAGUUCAAAGCCAGCCUCAGCAACUCAGCAAGGACCUCAGCAACUUAGCAAGACCCUGUCUCUAAAUAAAAAUAAAAAAGGGCUGGAUUGUGCCUUGGUGGUAAAGCAUCCCUGAGUUCAAUCCCCCAGUACAAAAAACAAAAUCAAGCUGGGUACAGUGGCACACACCUGUAAUUCCAGCAAUUGGGAGGCGGAGGCAGGAGGAUCGUGAGUUCAAAGCCAUCCUCAGCAAAAAGUGAGGCCCUGUCUCUAAAUAAAAUAUAAAAUAGGGCUGGGGAUGUGGGUCAGUGGUCGAGUGCCCCUGAGUUCAAUCCCCUGUACCAAAGGGAAAAAAAAAAAUCAAAUCUUUCCCUAUCUCUGACCCUCUGCCUCCCUCUUCCACACUUAGAGACCCUCUGAUUACAUUAGGCCCAUUCAGAUUAUCCAAGAUCAUCUCUCAGGCUCAAGGUCAACUGAUGAUCAAUUUUGAGUCUCUUUAGUUCCCCUUUGCCAUUUGCUCUAACAUAAUCAGGGAUUGGGACAUGAGGGGAUGGGGGCAUUAUUUUGACUACCACAGCCUAGGGCUCUCUAGAUGGGAUCUGGGAGUUCCUACCUGACCGCUCCAUUCUUAGCAAAGCCAGAAGAGAGAAAAGAACUGGUAAUUACUGAGCAUCUACUGAGGUCACGAAACACUAGGAACUCACUGCCAGUGUUCCACAUAGAACCCUGUGGAGAAGAUGCAGGUCAGAUGGGAACAGUGCUCAGAGCCUUAGGGCCCCGGAAGGAGCAGGGGCUGAAGCUUGGGGAGUUCUCAGGGGGCCUUUGAUUUGAUUAGUUGAAUUCUGGGUCACUCUGGGGCAAUGUUUGGGUCAAAGUAGCUUGGCUCUGUUGGUUGAGAGGCCUGGCCUCCUUGCUGACAGAUGUGUGAUCCUGAUAGGCAGAACAUGAGCUUUGAAGGGAGACAACCAUACUUUGAAAUCUCAGCCCCACCUCUGGCAGUACUCCAUGAGAGUGUGAAGGGGCCUGUGGUCCUUGAUGGGUCCUUCCGGGCCAUUCUGCAGAAGCAUCUGAGUCACAGGGUGUGCGUGGGGUUGUUGAGGAGCACGAGGGCUAAGUCCUCCUUGCUUCCUGAGCUGUGGCCCCACCUCCAGAUACCAAGAAGGUGUGGCCCCAAGAAGCAAAGAGAGUGGCCUUGGAUGAUCUGGAGAUAUGGGGCUGGCUGCUUCAGAUGGUUUAGAAGUGAGGUUGAUCAUGUUCCAGAAACUCCACCUUCCUCAGGUUUUUCACUGUUCACUUAGAACCUCUCACCUACCACAUGGUGCCAGUGGUUCUGUUGCAGAGAGGUCCCUGGGCCCAAGUAUCUAAUGAGCCCUUGCAAACCCCAGGACCACUGUGCUCCUGUCCUCAUCCGUGCAAGGGGAUGGUCAGCGUGCCCAUCCGACAGUGGGACUGUAAAUGGAGGGGCCACAGGAGUUUCUCCCUUCCUCUCCGAAGACUUGAAUCUUUUCAUUUGGUGAAGUGAAAUGACAAUAGAAAGAUCCACAGGAGAGCUAGUGUGCAAAUUUAUUAAUGUUCACGGACACACAGGAGCCACACAUAAUGGGAAACUUGAACAAGAGUGGGGGUGGCUGUUGUGGCUUACAUACCCUCUUCAUAAGGGAGAGGGAAGUGGGGGAUAAGGCAAUCUCAGAGGGGUAGUAAAUGAUUUUUAGGGCCAAAGCAUAAGCCCAGAGAGCAGACAAUGGGCUGGGACAAAGUUCUUCCAGGCUCUAGGUAUGGUAUUUGGUUUUCGGUCUCCUUGGUGAUAAGAAGUAACCUUCCUUGGUUAAUGACAUCUCGGUAGAGGACUGAAGGCGAAUGUGUUCCUUCUCGGCAGAUCGGGUCCCUGGGCAGACGAGGGGACUCCAGGGAAGGCCCUUCCUGAAUUUGCUGCUUUCCAGGUGCUCCAGAGUGGCGCAUUUGGGGGUCUUGUUUUCGGAGCUGACAUUAGGAUCCAGUGUGGUUAUGUGAAUGAAGUGCUUUAAAAUCUCCCAGAUGUUGUCCCCAGUCUUCUGUGACUCUUGUGAGCUGAUGGUGUCAUUUCGUGAUUACUGACAAAAUCAAAUAACCCUCUCCUGAUCCCUGGGAGCUUCCAUUCAGAAAUGUAUGCAAUUUCCCUCGAGCUCCUUCUGCGUCUGCUCGCCUCCAUAGCUUCCCCUCUCCUGAGGGUGUCAACCGUCUCCUGAGGCUGACUCACCUCCCAGCCUUUUAAAAAUCUGCCAGGGACCAUUCUUAGGACCAAGAGCCUUCACAGUGUUUUAUCAUCCUCCACCUCUAGCAGGUGUGGAAGGAGGGGCCCCAGAAGCCCCCAGCCUGGGGUGGGGUGAAGGUGGUUAGGGGGCCUCAGCAGGACCCCAGCUGGCUUCUGCCUCCACGUGCUUCCUAGACCUGCACGUAGGCCUGGGAUGAGCCCAGGGGCUCUGAAGUUACCUGCCAGCAUGGCUGAUGGUCCCAGAGGGUUUGUAGUUGUCUGAGAAUGAGAAUCAGAUUCACCUGGAACAAUUCCCAAACCCGGUUUUCCUAGCCUCUCCCUCUGGAGAUGGAAUGUCCAGAAUCUCUGCUGCGGGUCAUUGUGCACCUUCAGGAGACACGGCACUGGGGAGUGCAGAGGGAAGGAAGGCACGGACCCUGGCAUUGCUUAGGAGAAAGGAACCCCCAUCUCUGAGCAUCAUAAGCCGCCAGCAGAUGGUGGAAAAUAGUCUGCCCAACUGGGAGGCCCUGAAGGCCCCCCGCUGUCCUGGCCCCCCUCCUCUGCCUGGGCAGGGCCUCCCUCCCUCAGGCUCCAGUGAGUUCUUCCUGUGGGGUUAGAGUCACAUCACAGGAGGGAUCACACCACGUGGUUUCCAUGAAACAGCACCUUGAGUCACCAGAGGAGUGACAUGUUUGCACAGUGAUAACGGCACUCUGUGUGGUGUCGGGGGUGGGGAGAGGAAGAUCUCCACACUAGCCAGGUCUCACACUGCCAUUUGUGCAGCCCCAUAGCCUCCUCUUUUGCUAAACCCUCGGGCUACCCUGAUUGGUGCCAGAGGUUUUCUUUGUUCCCUCAAAAUAUCAAUCAGACUGUGGCAUUCCCUUGCUCAAAAUCUUUCUGUGAGCCAGGUGCAGUGAUGCACACCUCUAGUCCCAGCAGCUCAGGAGGCUGAGGCAGGAGGAUCAUGAGUUCAAAGCCAGCCCUCAGCAACUCAGUGAGGCCCUAAGCAACUCAGUGAGACCCUGUCUCUAAAUAAAAUAUAAAAAGGGCUGGGGAUGGGGCUCAGAGUUUAAGUGUCCCUGGGUUCAAUCCCCUAUACCAAAACAACAACAACAACAACAACAAAAAAAACCAAGCAAACAACAACAACAAAACUUUCUGUGGCUCCUGCUCACCUUCUGGAUAAAGCCCUAACUCUCUGGGGUAGGGUGACUUUUCUAGAUCCUUCCUGAUUUACCCCAGACUACCUUCCAGGCCCAUUUCUGCUUCAGAACCACAGGCGCCCAUUCCUUUGCUCAUGGUCUCUUCUUCCUGGAACACGGCUGUCCCCUGCCUGGCUACCUAACUUGCUCUCGUCCCCACACUCAGCUGUGUCUGCCCCCUCCCAGCUCUGAUUUGGGCACCUCUUCCUGCACUUUCCACCAUUAGAGUCCCUGUCCUCCUGAUGGAAAUGGCUUUCUUCCGCACCUGCACUGCCGAUAAACUCCCCAAGGCAUCUGCAGCCUUUCAUCUUUGCAUUCCUAGCACCAGGCCUGGGACAUGGCACUGACAGGUGCCCCAUAUAUGUUUGCACGUGGAUUGUGUGAUCUACUGAUUUCCACACCAAGGAAACGUCUGGGUGAGCAUCUCCAGCUGCUGCAUGAGACGUGCUCAUAAGAGAUGGAUAAGGUUUGCUCCCUGGAGUCCCCAGCCAGGUAUCAUGGCUUCACCUGGCUCAUUUCAGAGCUGAUCUGGGAAGAUAAUCUCCAGAUGUUUCCACAGAAACAAAAGAUGAAGCUGGCUGAGUCUAUAAAUGAGGGUUCUCCACCCUGGAGACCUGGGCGCUUGUUUAGAAGUGCAGAAUCUCAACCCAAUGGAUCACUAGCUGUAUGCUCUGAGCCAGCUGAGGCUCUGCCUCUAGCUCAUUGCUUGCCCAGAUUGGAGAAACCCACCGGAGCCCAGUCAAGGAAAACACGAUGUGUGAGGUCAUGACACGAGGGACACAAGAUCACGUGGGAAUCCAAGGGCAGGAGUGGUGGUGUACUCAGGCCUCAAGGGGACUGGGCCUUGAAUGCUUUCUGCCUGUGAUUGCUACUUGCAGGUGACCCCGUUGGCUUCCUGCCUGACCACAAGGGUCAGAAGCACUGACGUUUUGGUUUCUACCAUCUACUAGCAACUUCCUCUGUGUUUUAUUUCAUGCUUUACAAGGAGUGACUCUGGCCAGCUGGCUCCUGAGAUCCAGGCAGGUGUGACAGCCAUCAUGUAGUAGGACACAAGGCCUGUGGGUGCUGGGUUUGUGAAUUGGAAGUUUCACUGACCUGUGCUGUGGGCAUGUAUCCUGAAGCACCCCUGGUACUGGAACCUACUCUUUAGGCAUGAAUAAUAUGUACAAAGGCUUGUUGUCAAAGGGGUACAGGCCUGAGUUUGCAUUCCAUCUCUGGCUGAUGCCAAAGGCACUGGCAGAGAUCCUGAGUCCAUGUGGCCAGGGCAGCCACACCAGCAUGUGUGUCAUUUCUAUGUUUUGGUAACGGGCGUCUUUCUUGGACCAGGCUGUGUAGUGUUCCAUUUUCUCCUUUUGGAAUGGCUCUGGCCUAAAAAUUAAGCAUCCAGCUGGGCGUGGUGGCACACGCCUAUAAUCCCAGUGACUUGGGAGGCUGAGGCAAGAGGAUUGCAAGUUCAAGGCCAGCCUCAGCAACUUAGUGAGGCCCUCAGCAUCAUAGCAAGACCCUGUCUCAAAAUAAAAAAUAGAAAGGGCUGGGGAUGUGGCUCAGUGGUUGAGCACCCCAGGGUUCAAUCCCUGGCACCAAAAAACAAGGGUUCACAUGUGUCUUCCCCAAAUGAACAUUCUCAUUUCCUGCAGCUUGGCUGAGUGGGGUGAACUCAGGCUGCAGAGUCGAACAUACCUGGGCUCACACCUCACUUCUGUCCCCUGCUGCAGUGGCUCAGACACACGCUGCACUCCUCAAGCCCCCCCCCGCCAAGUGAGCAUGCUGACACUCGCCCAGGGGGUGGUCGUGAGCACUAAUGGCAUUUCCAUGUCCACCUUCCAACACUGAGCUCACCAUAGCGCAGACCUCAGUGAACAGUGCCUGUCUUUUGUUUCUUAAUAGAAAAUGGGGAAUUCCUUUCCCUGGAUCUUGGAGGAUCCAAGUUUCGAGUCUUAAAGGUGCAAGUCUCUGAGGAAGGGAAACGAAAUGUCCAGAUGGAGAGUCAGUUCUACCCAAUGCCCAAUGAAAUCAUCCGGGGAAACGGCUCGGAGGUACGGGGCAGGCGGGGAAGGCCUUGUCACCAGGGGUGAGAAACUGUGCCUUGGGCCCAUGUCCUGUGCGUUUUCUUUCUGCAGCUGUUUGACUACGUGGCUGACUGCCUGGCAGAUUUCAUGAAGACCAAAGACUUGCAGCAUAAGAAACUGCCCCUUGGCUUUACUUUUUCUUUUCCCUGCAAACAGACUAAGUUGGAAGAGGUAAGCCUGCGGGGUUGGAGAAGGUGCACUUGCGCAGGAGCCCGGCUGGGCACAGUGGGGACAGUAGGAGCUUUCUGGAUUAUCUUUCCCUCCACUGUUUGCUAGUGAUGAGAUGGCAGAGACCUGGUUAACACCGUGGCCUUGACUCUGCUCUUAACACGAGCAAAGCACAAAGGAGGGAGUGGAAUGGUUUCCAGUGGUUCUCAAACCUUGGGAUGCAGUUGAAACCCCUGGAGGGCUUGGGACCCAGGUUGCUGGGAUCCACAGAAUCACUGGGUCUGCAUCCAGGCCCUAAAUUUGCAUUUCUAACAGGUAAUAGGAGACACGGAGCUGCUGGUUUGAGGACCAGAGUUAGGACCAUUGACACUGCUGCCUAGUAUUGGAGUGGGAAGCCUCGGGCAUCUCUGUGAAAAUAAGUUAAGGGCCAGGGACAAUGAGCUUUCUGGGGGCCCAGGGGUUACUGUCAAGAGUGAAGUCUCUCCAGGCCACUCCUGUUUGCGGGGUGGUGGCCUCUAAAUCUCCUACUGCACACUCUGGCUAUGACACCCAAUGGUUCAUCAUAAGUGGCUUGGGCCACUUACUGCUUGGUGCUGGUAGUAGAGCUUCCAUAUCCCCCAGACCUGGCCUUGAAUCACGGUGUCUCCUUGAACAAGUUACUUAACUUCCGAGCCUUUUGUUUGUUCAUUCAUAAAACAAGGGUGAUAAUAUUUACUUGCUGGUUAAAGGGAAGCUUGACAGAUUAUUUGUAAAGAGCUUAACGUGGUGCAUAAGCCAUAGCCACUGGGUCCGGAUGACUGUCUCUGUGCUUUUGUACCUCAUUCCAAAGCCAACAGGUGUCUCUGGAGGGCAGGUGCUGUUUGUCUGAUUCUCUACCCCCCCCCCCACUUUAACAGGUGCUUGAUAACUAUCUUACAAUUCAAAGGUGCUGUCAAUCAUUUGAUUCCAUUGAGUAGGAACUUGCCAUCCUCUCUUCAGCAAAGCAAGGCUGAGGUUUUCUUUCUUUCAUAAAUAAAAGGAUUGGGGGGAAAUAACAGAAAGAAGGUUUCGGAAAAUGUUUAGAUGAGACCUUGAUGAACUUAGAUCUGAGCUUCACUGACAUUGCUGUGUGGAAGAGCAGAGGCGGGCAGUUGGGAAUCAGGUGUUCAAGUCAGUCCGAGGUGCAGGCUUUGAGCCAAAGAUUAAUCACCUGUCACCUGGGGCCCAAGGAAGCAGGGAGAGUUUCUCAGGCUUUGUGGGGGUCAGUUUACCCUCAGGAUGUGUGAUUAAGGGAGCUUCUUUGAGAAAUUAAAAGUGAUUAAAGAAGAUAAGGGCUUGAGAAUUAAAAGGCAUCUACUUGGUUUGGGGGGUUUAUUGCUUAAUUUUUUUGGUGCUGGGUACUGAACCCAGGGCUUCUCUCACUCUAAGCAUUUGCUCUGCUACUGAGCUACAGCCUUGAUUUUGUGUGGGUCUGAGUAUGUUCGGGGUAGGUACUGGGAAUUGAACCCAGGGGCCACUGAGCUAUACCCCAAACUUUUGUUUUGUUUUGUUUUUGAGAUAUAGUCUUGCUAAGUUGCUAGACCAUAAACUUGCAUCCUCCUGCCUCAGCCUCUUGAGUACCUGGGGUUACAGGCAUGUGCCACUGUGCCCAGCAAUCAUUGUUUUCUUUCUUUCUUUUAUUUUUUUAAAUGAGAGAGCAGAAAAGCCAAGCCAAAGAUAAAUUUUUCUGUGUGUUCUCAUGGUAAAAUAGUCAUUUUUUUUUUUUUUUUGAGAGAGAGAGAGAGAGAGAAUUUUUUUUUUAAUAUUUAUUUUUUAGUUUUCGGUGGACACAACAUCUUCAUUUUAUUUUUAUGUGGUGCUGAGGAUCAAACCCAGCGCCCCACGAAUGCCAGGCAAGCGUGCUACUGCUUGAGCCACAUCCCCAGCCCGGUCAUACUUUUUUAAGAUUUAAAAAAUGAGGGUUGCCGGGUGCAGUGGUACACACCUGUAAGCCCGGAAUGCUUGGGAUGCUGAGGCAGGAAGAUUAAGAGCUCAAAGCCAAUCUCAGUAACUUAGUGAGACCCUAAGCAACUCGUUAGAGACAGACUAACUUAGAGACAGACUUAAAGAAGAAAAUAGAAAUCACCUCCAAUCCCGGAAUUCAGAAAUAUCUGUUUCUAGAACUGCAGGAUUUCUCAUCUAGUCACAUCUACAUUAAAUACUAAUGUCAUGCUGUGAAUAGUUUUAAAAUAAAUAGUUGUAUGUUAUUAUUUAUUUUUCCACAACUUAAUAUUAUACCACGAGCCUUUAUCCCUCAGUUUCCCAUACACUUUUUCCCUAACAGAUCCCACAUUUUCCCUGGUACCCUUUGGAGGGAGAAGCCACUCUACACCUCACUCUCUCUGAUGAACCUGGAUCAUGAAAAGCCUAUGGAGAAAAAAAAAAAAAAAAGCCUAUGAAAAAUAAGUUAGAGAGAGCUACCGCGGGGUGGCGCUGUGGUGCAGCAUAGAAACCUGGCGGCGGACCGGAGUCAGAG